UACGUAGGUGGCGAGCGUUGUCCGGAUUUAUUGGGCGUAAAGCGCGUGCAGGUGGUUGGUUAAGGCCGAUGUAAAAUCUCCCGGCUCACCUGGGAGGGCGCGUUGGCGACUGGCCGACUGGAGGCAGGUAGAGGCCGGUGGAAUUCCCGGUGUAGUGGUGAAAUGCGUAGAUAUCAGGAGGAACACCUAUUGCGAAGGCAGCUCGCUGGGACGUUACUGACGCUGAGACGCGAAAGCGUGGGGAGCAAACAGG
Molecule: ribosomal RNA, 253 nt
Filed under: uncultured bacterium
Lineage: Bacteria
Description: partial 16S ribosomal RNA
Rfam family: Bacterial small subunit ribosomal RNA
Source: RNAcentral